GAUGAACGCUAGCUCCAGGCUUAACACAUGCAAGUCGAGGGACCGGCGCACGGGUGAGUAACACGUAUCCCACCUGCCCUUUACUCGGGGAUAGCCUUUCGAAAGAAAGAUUAAUACCCGAUAUAAAGGAUGGGGAUGCGUUCCAUUAGGUUGUUGGUGAGGUAACGGCUCACCAAGCCUUCGAUGGAUAGGGGUUCUGAGAGGAAAGGCCCCCACAUGUGAACGGGGACACGAUCCAAACGCGUACGGGAGGCAGCAGUUAGGAAUAUUGGUCAAGGGGCGCUAGCCUGAACCAGCCAAGUAGCGUGAAGGAUGAAGGCUUAUGGGUCGUUAACUUCUUUUAGAUAAGAAUAUGUAUUAUAUGAAUAAGGAUCGGCUAACUCCGUGCCAGCAGCCGCGGUAAUAC
Molecule: ribosomal RNA, 406 nt
Filed under: uncultured bacterium
Lineage: Bacteria
Description: partial 16S ribosomal RNA
Rfam family: Bacterial small subunit ribosomal RNA
Source: RNAcentral